RNAcentral lists this ribosomal RNA (464 nucleotides) under Vreelandella stevensii. Its description in RNAcentral is "partial 16S ribosomal RNA". It matches the Rfam family "Bacterial small subunit ribosomal RNA", at positions 338 to 795 of the family's 1533-position model. Lineage: Bacteria; Pseudomonadati; Pseudomonadota; Gammaproteobacteria; Oceanospirillales; Halomonadaceae. The record is from RNAcentral.
CCUACGGGUGGCAGCAGUGGGGAAUAUUGGACAAUGGGCGAAAGCCUGAUCCAGCCAUGCCGCGUGUGUGAAGAAGGCCUUCGGGUUGUAAAGCACUUUCAGUGGGGAAGAAAGCCUUGGGGCUAAUACCCUCGAGGAAGGACAUCACCCACAGAAGAAGCACCGGCUAACUCCGUGCCAGCAGCCGCGGUAAUACGGAGGGUGCGAGCGUUAAUCGGAAUUACGGGGCGUAAAGCGCGCGUAGGCGGUCUGAUAAGCCGGUUGUGAAAGCCCCGGGCUCAACCUGGGAACGGCAUCCGGAACUGUCAGGCUAGAGUGCAGGAGAGGAAGGUAGAAUUCCCGGUGUAGCGGUGAAAUGCGUAGAGAUCGGGAGGAAUACCAGUGGCGAAGGCGGCCUUCUGGACUGACACUGACGCUGAGGUGCGAAAGCGUGGGUAGCAAACAGGAUUAGAACCCCUGUAGUC